CCUACGGGGGGCUGCAGUGAGGAAUAUUGGUCAAUGGGCGAGAGCCUGAACCAGCCAAGUCGCGUGCAGGAUGAAGGAUCUAUGGUUUGUAAACUUCUUUUAUUUGGGAAUAAAGUGAGGACCGUGUUCCUUUUUUUAUGUACCAUAUGAAUAAGCAUCCGCGAACUCCGUGCCAGCAGCCGCGGUUAUACGGAGGAUGCGCGCGUUAUCCGGAUUUAUUGGGUUUAUAGGGUGCGUAUGUGGUUAAUUAAGUCAGCGGGGAAAGUUUGUGGCUCAACCAUAAAAUUGCCGUUGAGACUGGUUGACUUGAGUAUAUUUGAGGUAGGCGGAAUGCGUGGUGUAGCGGUGAAAUGCAUAGAGAUCACGAAGAACUCCGAUUGCGAAGGCAGCUUACUAAACUAUAACUGACACUGAAGCACGAAAGCGUGGGGAUCAAACAGGAUUAGAUACCCGAGUAGUC
Molecule: ribosomal RNA, 460 nt
Filed under: uncultured bacterium
Lineage: Bacteria
Description: partial 16S ribosomal RNA
Rfam family: Bacterial small subunit ribosomal RNA
Source: RNAcentral